Molecule: long non-coding RNA, 257 nt
Filed under: Elaeis guineensis (African oil palm)
Lineage: Eukaryota; Viridiplantae; Streptophyta; Magnoliopsida; Arecales; Arecaceae
Description: long non-coding RNA (EGUI_LNC038594)
Source: RNAcentral
GGGGGUGAAUUGGAUUUUUAAAACUUAAAAUAGGUAUAUGCUGAAUUAUCUACUUUGCCUUUAAUAUAAUUGUACAGUGAAUGCAAUGUAUGAAUGAAAGAAUGAAGAAAAUAAGCACAUAUAUAAAGAUAAAAAAAAUUUUAUAAUAGUUCGGUGCACACCCAGUAUCAACGUCCACUCCUUAAGUAAGACUCUUGAGAAUUUCACUAUAAUCCUUCAAGAUUACAGCUUGAUAGUUUUAACUGGACUCACUAUCC